UACGUAGGGGGCAAGCGUUGUCCGGAUUUAUUGGGCGUAAAGGGCGCGUAGGCGGGAUGGUAAGUCGGUCGUGAAAUCCCUCGGCUCAACCGAGGAACGUCGAUCGAUACUACCGUUCUUGAGGAUUGCAGAGGAGACUGGAAUUCCCGGUGUAGCGGUGAAAUGUGUAGAGAUCGGGAGGAACACCGGUGGCGAAGGCGGGUCUCUGGGCAAUUCCUGACGCUGAGGCGCGAAAGCGUGGGGAGCAAACGGG
This 253-nucleotide ribosomal RNA is filed under the name uncultured bacterium. Its description in RNAcentral is "partial 16S ribosomal RNA". It matches the Rfam family "Bacterial small subunit ribosomal RNA", at positions 524 to 776 of the family's 1533-position model. The record is from RNAcentral.